GCCUUGAUAGCUCAGCUGGUUAGAGCCUGCUGCUAAUAAUGCCAAGGUUGCAGGUUCGAUCCCUGUUUGGGGCA
Podarcis muralis (Common wall lizard) is the source of this 74-nucleotide non-coding RNA. Lineage: Eukaryota; Metazoa; Chordata; Lepidosauria; Squamata; Lacertidae. The record is from the annotation of a RefSeq genome assembly.